GAUGAACGCUGGCGGCGUGCCUAAUACAUGCAAGUCGAGCGAACAGAUGAGGAGCUUGCUCCUCUGACGUUAGCGGCGGACGGGUGAGUAACACGUGGAUAACCUACCUAUAAGACUGGGAUAACUUCGGGAAACCGGAGCUAAUACCGGAUCAUAUAUUGAACCGCAUGGUUCAAUAGUGAAAGACGGUUUUGCUCUCACUUUUAGAUGGAUCCGCGCCGCAUUAGCUAGUUGGUAAGGUAACGGCUUACCAAGGCGACGAUGCGUAGCCGACCUGAGAGGGUGAUCAGCCACACUGGAACUGAGACACGGUCCAGACUCCUACGGGAGGCAGCAGUGGGGAAUCUUCCGCAAUGGGCGAAAGCCUGAUGGAGCAACGCCGCGUGAGUGAUGAAGGUCUUCGGAUCGUAAAACUCUGUUAGUAGGGAAGAAAAAAAGUGUAAGUAACUAUGCACGUGUUGACGGUACCUGAACAGAAAGCCACGGCUAACUACGUG
This 497-nucleotide ribosomal RNA is filed under the name uncultured bacterium. Its description in RNAcentral is "partial 16S ribosomal RNA". It matches the Rfam family "Bacterial small subunit ribosomal RNA", at positions 28 to 507 of the family's 1533-position model. The record is from RNAcentral.